RNAcentral lists this transfer RNA (63 nucleotides) under Zecheuna tonkinensis. RNAcentral's name for it is "tRNA-Arg". Lineage: Eukaryota; Metazoa; Arthropoda; Insecta; Hemiptera; Flatidae. The record is from RNAcentral.
AAGUAAAGAAGUAAAAUACAAUUAAUUUCGACUUAAAAUUUAGGGUAAAUAACCCCAUACUUU